GACGAACGCUGGCGGCGUGCUUAACACAUGCAAGUCGAACGGAAAGGCCCUGAUUUUGUGGGGUUCUCGUUUGGCGAGCGGGUGAGUAACACGCGUGUAAACUCCCCUUGUCUUUGGGGUAACUUCAGGGAACUGGGGAUAAUAUCGGAUAUGAUCUCCUGAAGCACAUGGUGGAUUGGAAAGAUACGGCGGUUGUGGCUGGACUCGCGGGUUAUCAGCUUGUUUGUGUGGUAGUGGAGUACCAAGGCUUUGACGGGUAGCCGGCCUGAGAGGGUGGACGGGGACCUGGGGACUGAGAGACGGCCCAGAAUCCUACGGGAGGCAGCAGUGGGGAAUAUUGCGCAAUGGGCGGAAGCCUGAUGCAGAAGCGCCGGGUGCGGAAUGACGUCUUUCUGGUGGUAAACCGCUGUCGACUGUGACGAGGCGUGAGUGACGGUAAUGGGUAAAGAAGCCCCGGCUAACUACGUG
This 468-nucleotide ribosomal RNA is filed under the name uncultured bacterium. RNAcentral describes it as "partial 16S ribosomal RNA". It matches the Rfam family "Bacterial small subunit ribosomal RNA", at positions 28 to 507 of the family's 1533-position model. The record is from RNAcentral.